AUUGAACGCUGGCGGCAGGCCUAACACAUGCAAGUCGAGCGGAUGAAGGGAGCUUGCUCCUGGAUUCAGUGGCGGACGGGUGAGUAAUGCCUAGGAAUCUGCCUGGUAGUGGGGGAUAACGUCCGGAAACGGGCGCUAAUACCGCAUACGUCCUGAGGGAGAAAGUGGGGGAUCUUCGGACCUCACGCUAUCAGAUGAGCCUAGGUCGGAUUAGCUAGUUGGUGGGGUAAAGGCCUACCAAGGCGACGAUCCGUAACUGGUCUGAGAGGAUGAUCAGUCACACUGGAACUGAGACACGGUCCAGACUCCUACGGGAGGCAGCAGUGGGGAAUAUUGGACAAAGGGCGAAAGCCUGAUCCAGCCAUGCCGCGUGUGUGAAGAAGGUCUUCGGAUUGUAAAGCACUUUAAGUUGGGAGGAAGGGCAGUAAGUUAAUACCUUGCUGCUUUGACGUUACCAACAGAAUAAGCACCGGCUAACUUCGUG
Molecule: ribosomal RNA, 484 nt
Filed under: uncultured bacterium
Lineage: Bacteria
Description: partial 16S ribosomal RNA
Rfam family: Bacterial small subunit ribosomal RNA
Source: RNAcentral